UGUGCCAGCAGCCGCGGUAAGCCAAUCCCAGAAACCCUAUCUCAGUCCGGAUUGGAGUCUGCAACUCGACUCCAUGAAGUCGGAAUCGCUAGUAAUCGCAGAUCAGCAUUGCUGCGGUGAAUACGUUCCCGGGCCUUGUACACACCGCCCGUCACACCAUGGGAGUUUGUUGCACCAGAAGCAGGUAGCUUAACCUUCGGGAGGGCGCUUGCCACGGUGUGGCCGAUGACUGGGGUGAAGUCGUAACAAGGUAACC
Molecule: ribosomal RNA, 256 nt
Filed under: uncultured bacterium
Lineage: Bacteria
Description: partial 16S ribosomal RNA
Rfam family: Bacterial small subunit ribosomal RNA
Source: RNAcentral